AAACAAUUGACUGCUUUUUAGAAC
Molecule: non-coding RNA, 24 nt
Filed under: Gossypium hirsutum (cotton)
Lineage: Eukaryota; Viridiplantae; Streptophyta; Magnoliopsida; Malvales; Malvaceae
Source: RNAcentral